Molecule: long non-coding RNA, 628 nt
Filed under: Homo sapiens (human)
Lineage: Eukaryota; Metazoa; Chordata; Mammalia; Primates; Hominidae
Description: non-protein coding lnc-RAD23B-10:7
Source: RNAcentral
GACUUUGGACUAGUCCUGGCAGCUGCAAAGUUAUUUUCAUCGGCUUCUGACCCAGGCCCUCCCUGCAGGGCACAGGUGCCUGAGAAUGUACCCCUGUCUCUGCUCACAAGGUGAGCAAGGGGGGCUGGAAGACAAGCUCUCUCUGGACUCCUGGCAAGACUUCUAGAAAGUCCUAGCUGCUAAUUUCCUUGGCAGCCUAGGAGUCAAGGGUCUGAGGCAGCACUCAGGGCUUGAAAUGAAAUGAAGCUCAUUUACUGAGCAUCUAGGAUAUGCCAGAAGUUUUCUCUUCAUUUGUCUCAUUCUUCCUCACAGUAAUCCAAAUAAAUGUUUUCUUUUGUCAUUGAAACGGAGACCCUAACAGAGCAAGAGGCCUGACCUUCACACCUAUGUAACCCAAGGUCACAGAAAUGCUGAGGGGCCAUGUGACUCCAGUGAAGCAGGAGUAUCCAUCCAGCCACAGAGAUGGGACCUGUCCAAAUGGGACCUGUCUGUUCCAAAGGUUAUUCUGCUUGUUCUGGAGACUGGGAAUUCCAAGAGCAUGAUACCAGCAUCUGGCGAGCGUUAUCCCCUGGUAGGAAGUAUCACAUGGUGAGUGAAUGUAUAAGACAGAGAGAAAAGUGAACCGAAC